This 405-nucleotide ribosomal RNA is filed under the name uncultured bacterium. RNAcentral's name for it is "partial 16S ribosomal RNA". The record is from RNAcentral.
AGCGCAGGAAACUAGCUCCGGUACUCUCGAAUGCAUUCUCAGAAAUUUNUUAAGUUUUUGGAAAUUUCCCAAACUUUUUGGGGGCCUCAAAGGAAAAUUUUUGACAAGCUGGGCCCCUUUGGGUGGCUGGCAAGGCCUUAAAAGCACAUUGCAAGUCGAGCGGAUAGAUUGGGAGCUUGCUCCCGGAGUUCAGAAGCCAGAGCGGACGNGGGUUGAGUAAGUNGCCCCUUAGGGGAGAGUUCUNGCCUUGGUUACGGGGUUUGUGGGGGGGGAAGAGGCCAGAAGCGGGUUUUUCCGACGACGAAGCGCGACGAGCGCGUAGACGUUACGCCGGCAGUACGCGUCCCGUACGCCGGNGACGGGAGACGAGGCCAGGGGGGGUUGGACGCCCCCCUUUUUUCCCGG